RNAcentral lists this ribosomal RNA (497 nucleotides) under uncultured bacterium. Its description in RNAcentral is "partial 16S ribosomal RNA". It matches the Rfam family "Bacterial small subunit ribosomal RNA", at positions 28 to 507 of the family's 1533-position model. The record is from RNAcentral.
GACGAACGCUGGCGGCGUGCCUAAUACAUGCAAGUAGAACGCUGAAGCUUGGUGCUUGCACCGAGCGGAUGAGUUGCGAACGGGUGAGUAACGCGUAGGUAACCUGCCUGGUAGCGGGGGAUAACUAUUGGAAACGAUAGCUAAUACCGCAUCAGAGUAGAUGUUGCAUGACAUUUGCUUAAAAGGUGCAAUUGCAUCACUACCAGAUGGACCCGCGUUGUAUUAGCUAGUUGGUGAGGUAACGGCUCACCAAGGCAACGAUACAUAGCCGACCUGAGAGGGUGAUCGGCCACACUGGGACUGAGACACGGCCCAGACUCCUACGGGAGGCAGCAGUAGGGAAUCUUCGGCAAUUGACGGAAGUCUGACCGAGCAACGCCGCGUGAGUGAAGAAGGUUUUCGGAUCGUAAAGCUCUGUUGUAAGAGAAGAACGAGUGUGAGAGUGGAAAGUUCACACUGUGACGGUAUCUUACCAGAAAGGGACGGCUAACUACGUG